CAAUAGCGUAUAUUAAAGUUGUUGCGGUUAAAAAGCUCGUAGUUGGAUUUCUGCUGAGAACGACCGGUCCGCCCUCUGGGUGUGUAUCUGGCUCUUUCUUGGCAUCUUCUUGGUGAACGUUGCUGCACUUGACUGUGUGGAGCGCUACCCAGGACUUUUACUUUGAGGAAAUUAGAGUGUUUCAAGCAGGCAUACGCCUUGAAUACAUUAGCAUGGAAUAAUAAGAUAGGACCUCGGUUCUAUUUUGUUGGUUUCUAGAGCUGAGGUAAUGAUUAAUAGGGAUAGUUGGGGGCAUUCGUAUUUAACUGUCAGAGGUGAAAUUCUUGGAUUUGUUAAAGACGGACUACAGCGAAAGCAUUUGCCAAGGAUGUUUUCAUUG
Molecule: ribosomal RNA, 379 nt
Filed under: uncultured eukaryote
Lineage: Eukaryota
Description: partial 18S ribosomal RNA
Rfam family: Eukaryotic small subunit ribosomal RNA
Source: RNAcentral